UACGUAGGUGGCAAGCGUUGUCCGGAUUUAUUGGGUUUAAAGGGUCCGUAGGCGGUUUUGUAAGUCAGUGGUGAAAGCCCAUCGCUCAACGGUGGAACGGCCAUUGAUACUGCAAGACUUGAAUUAUUAGGAAGUAACUAGAAUAUGUAGUGUAGCGGUGAAAUGCUUAGAUAUUACAUGGAAUACCAAUUGCGAAGGCAGGUUACUACUAAUGGAUUGACGCUGAUGGACGAAAGCGUGGGGAGCGAACAGG
Molecule: ribosomal RNA, 253 nt
Filed under: uncultured bacterium
Lineage: Bacteria
Description: partial 16S ribosomal RNA
Rfam family: Bacterial small subunit ribosomal RNA
Source: RNAcentral